RNAcentral lists this ribosomal RNA (332 nucleotides) under Laetesia raveni. RNAcentral's name for it is "partial 12S ribosomal RNA". The record is from RNAcentral. Lineage: Eukaryota; Metazoa; Arthropoda; Arachnida; Araneae; Linyphiidae.
AUUAAAAUAAAAUAAAGGUAUUAAUAAAAUUUGUUUAAACCUAUAAAAUAUAUGGCGGCAUUUAAUCUAAUUAGAGGAAUCUGUUUAUUAAUCGAUAAUCCACGAUAAAUUUUACUUUUUUAUAUAUUUUAUAUACCUCCGUCUAAAGAGUUUAUUAAUAAAUCUUAUUCAAAAUAAAAUCUAAAAAGAUAGGUAAAGGUGUAGACUACAAAAAAGAUUAAAUGGAUUACAUUAAAUACAAUUUAAGGAUUAUUAUUUAAAUAUAAUAUUAAAAAAGGAUUUAAAAGUAAUUUUAAAAUAACAUUUUAUUUUUAAUAAGAAAAAAAAUGUGU